GCGGGCGUGGCGGAAUUGGCAGACGCGCCAGAUUUAGGUUCUGGUGUCUACGACGUGAAGGUUCAAGUCCUUUCGCCCGCACCA
Molecule: transfer RNA, 84 nt
Rfam family: tRNA
About the family: Transfer RNA (tRNA) molecules are approximately 80 nucleotides in length. Their secondary structure includes four short double-helical elements and three loops (D, anti-codon, and T loops).